CGAACGCUGGCGGCGUGCUUAACACAUGCAAGUCGUACGGUAAGGCCCUUUCGGGGGUCCACGAGUGGCGAACGGGUGAGUAACACGUGAGUAACCUGCCCACAACUUUGGGAUAACGCUAGGAAACUGGUGCUAAUACUGGAUAUGUGCUCCUGCUGCAUGGUGGGGGUUGGAAAGCUCCGGCGGUUGUGGAUGGACUCGCGGCCUAUCAGCUUGUUGGUGGGGUAGUCGCCUACCAAGGCGGCGACGGGUAGCCGGCCUGAGAGGGUGACCGGCCACAUUGGGACUGAGAUACGGCCCAGACUCCUACGGGAGGCAGCAGUGGGGAAUAUUGCACAAUGGGCGCAAGCCUGAUGCAGCAACGCCGCGUGCGGGAUGACGGCCUUCGGGUUGUAAACCGCUUUCAGCAGGGACGAAGCUUUUUGUGACGGUACCUGCAGAAGAAGCACCGGCUAACUACGUG
RNAcentral lists this ribosomal RNA (463 nucleotides) under uncultured bacterium. RNAcentral's name for it is "partial 16S ribosomal RNA". It matches the Rfam family "Bacterial small subunit ribosomal RNA", at positions 30 to 507 of the family's 1533-position model. The record is from RNAcentral.